UGGGGGAUAUUGCACAAUGGGCGAAAGCCUGAUGCAGCGACGCCGCGUGGGGGAUGAAGGCCUUCGGGUUGUAAACUUCUUUUGCUCUGAACAAGGCGCACCAUGGGGUGUGUUGAGUGUGGGGGUUGAUUAGCGCCGGCUAACUACGUGCCAGCAGCCGCGGUAAUACGUAGGGCGCGAGCGUUGUCCGGAAUUAUUUGGCGUAAAGGGCUUGUAGGUGGCUGGUUGCGUCUGUCGUGAAAGCUCAUGGCUUAACUGUGGGUUUGCGGUGGGUACGGGCUGGAUUGAGUGCAGUAGGGGAAGCUGGAAUUCCUGGUGUAGCGGUGGAAUGCGCAGAUAUCAGGAGAAAUACCGGUGACGAAGGCGGGUCUCUGGGCUGUUACUGACACUGAGAAGCGAAAGCAUGGGGAGCGAACAGG
This 419-nucleotide ribosomal RNA is filed under the name bacterium. Its description in RNAcentral is "partial 16S ribosomal RNA". It matches the Rfam family "Bacterial small subunit ribosomal RNA", at positions 355 to 776 of the family's 1533-position model. The record is from RNAcentral.